UCUGCUUCCCCCUCUUCCCUGCUGCUCUGCAAUUUUGUCCCCUCUGAACCUCCAGUAAACCGAACAACAACGAUUCAUC
RNAcentral lists this non-coding RNA (79 nucleotides) under Gloeochaete wittrockiana. Lineage: Eukaryota; Glaucocystophyceae; Gloeochaetales; Gloeochaetaceae. The record is from RNAcentral.